CGUGACCUGCAUUCGAUACGGUCGAGCUAGAGUGUGGUAGGGGAGACUGGAAUUCCUGGUGUAGCGGUGGAAUGCGCAGAUAUCAGGAGGAACACCGAUGGCGAAGGCAGGUCUCUGGGCCAUUACUGACACUGAGGAGCGAAAGCGUGGGGAGCGAACAGGAUUAGAUACCCUGGUAGUCCACGCCGUAAACGGUGGGCGCUAGUUGUGCGAACCUUCCACGGUUUGUGCGACGCAGCUAACGCAUUAAGCGCCCCGCCUGGGGAGUACGAUCGCAAGAUUAAAACUCAAAGGAAUUGACGGGGCCCCGCACAAGCAGCGGAGCAUGCGGCUUAAUUCGACGCAACGCGAAGAACCUUACCGAGGCUUGACAUAUACAGGAAUACGGCAGAGAUGUCGUAGCCGCAAGGUCUGUAUACAGGUGGUGCAUGGUUGUCGUCAGCUCGUGUCGUGAGAUGUAGGGUUAAGUCCCGCAACGAGCGCAACCCUCGUUCUGUGUUGCCAGCAUUUAGUUGGGGACUCACAGGAGACUGCCGGGGUUAACUCGGAGGAAGGUGGGGAUGACGUCAAAUCAUCAUGCCCCUUAUGUCUUGGGCUGCACGCAUGCUACAAUGGCUGGUACAAACGGCUGCAAUACCGCAAGGUGGAGCGAAUCCGAGAGAGCCAGUCUCAGUUCGGAUUGGGGUCUGCAACUCGACCCCAUGAAGUCGGAGUUGCUAGUAAUCGUAGAUCAGCAACGCUACGGUGAAUACGUUCCCGGGGCUUGUACACACCGCCCGUCACGUCACGAAAGUCGGUAACACCCAAAGUCAGUGGCCCAACCGUAAGGA
Molecule: ribosomal RNA, 830 nt
Filed under: uncultured Actinomycetes bacterium
Lineage: Bacteria; Bacillati; Actinomycetota; Actinomycetes
Description: bacterial SSU rRNA
Rfam family: Bacterial small subunit ribosomal RNA
Source: RNAcentral